RNAcentral lists this ribosomal RNA (253 nucleotides) under uncultured bacterium. Its description in RNAcentral is "partial 16S ribosomal RNA". It matches the Rfam family "Bacterial small subunit ribosomal RNA", at positions 524 to 776 of the family's 1533-position model. The record is from RNAcentral.
UACGUAGGGAGCUAGCGUUGUCCGGAAUCAUUGGGCGUAAAGCGCGCGUAGGCGGCCCGGUAAGUCCGCUGUGAAAGUCAAAGGCUCAACCUUUGAAUGUCAGCGGAUACUGCCGGGCUAGAGUCCGGAAGAGGCGAGUGGAACUCCUGGUGUAGCGGUGAAAUGCGCAGAUAUCAGGAGGAACACCAAUUGCGAAGGCAGCUCGCUGGGACGUGACUGACGCUGAGACGCGAAAGCGUGGGGAGCAAACAGG